GUGGGGAAUAUUGGGCAAUGGGGGAAACCCUGACCCAGCGACGCCGCGUGGGUGAAGAAAUCCCUCGGGAUGUAAAGCCCUGUUGUAUGGGAAGAGCAGAAGACGGUACCAUACGAGGAAGCCCCGGCAAACUACGUGCCAGCAGCCGCGGUAAUACGUAGGGGGCAAGCGUUGUCCGGAAUUACUGGGCGUAAAGCGCACGCAGGCUGAAUUAUAAGUCGGUAGUCAAAUACGGAGGCUCAACUUCCGGAUAUCUAUCGAUACUGUAAAUCUAGAGUAUGUGAGAGGGAAGCGGAAUGCCCGGUGUAGCGGUGAAAUGCGUAGAUAUCGGGAGGAACACCAGUGGCGAAGGCGGCUUCCUGGCACAAUACUGACGCUCAUGUGCGAAAGCUAGGGCAGCGAACGGGAUUAGAUACCCUAGUAGUCC
This 427-nucleotide ribosomal RNA is filed under the name uncultured bacterium. RNAcentral describes it as "partial 16S ribosomal RNA". It matches the Rfam family "Bacterial small subunit ribosomal RNA", at positions 354 to 796 of the family's 1533-position model. The record is from RNAcentral.